AAAGGAAAGAACCUGUAGGUGCUAAUGGAUUUACAAUAUAAAAUCGAGAUACUGGAGAAAAAUAAGGUAAUAAAUGUUCCUAUUAAUCUGAUCUUAUUUCCAAUAGAAAGAGAGAGUCCUACAAGAUCUGGAAGUUGAAAUUUAAAAAGAAAGGAGAUCAUGGUACGUAGGCAAAUUUUUCCUGAGAACUCAUCCACCAAUUAUAGAAGAGUUUAAAAGAAAGGGUCAUGUGUAAGGCAGCAAUACAGGAAACCACAAGUGGUUUUAAACCAUUUCAUGUAAGCUAGAGAUCACAAGAUUGACGGACAUAGAUAACCAUCGAAUUGCACCAUCAGAAGCAAGCUGGGGCUCAGAUAUAUCAAACUCCGACGAAGGGGGGCCACUAAGCUAAUGCUCAGGUUAUACAUACAUGUUUAUCAAAAAUAAGAGUAGCUAUAAUGGUAUAAAGAUGAAUAUUACUUCAAGAUGGAAUAGAUAGACAUACACCCCCUUCACAAUUACAAGGUAGAUAAUGAGGAAAAUGAACAAAAUGCAGCAGCCACAAGAGGAUGCAUGGGCCAUGGCAAAAAUGCUGCUACCUAGUUAGGAAUGGGAAGAGUAAGUUUAUACAUGGUAAUGGCAAUUUCUUUAUUUAGUAUCAUAAUAGCCAUCCAUCAAAUCCUUGAUUCUAUAUUUAGUUGACCUUUUGUCCAACCAUGUAUAGAAACUUUGCCUCUUAUUGCAUGCCUUGUCUAAUAUCUCAUUGUUUUUCUAAUAUGCUUUACAAGGUGUUUUAUUCAUAUGGAUGAAAUCAUGACUUAUGAUUGACAAAAUGUUUAAUGUCUUUGUUGUUGCAUUGUAAGAAGAACAAAUGUCUAAGAAGAGCCAACAUACCCUUGCUGGUCCAUCAACCCAAGAUGAGAAGAAGAGGAAGGCCAUUUGGAAUGAAAAAUUGAUAGAAGAGUUUAUCGAUAUAUGUAUUGGUAAAGUUGAAGCUGGUAAUCGC
RNAcentral lists this long non-coding RNA (985 nucleotides) under Phoenix dactylifera (date palm). RNAcentral's name for it is "long non-coding RNA (PDAC_LNC000680)". Lineage: Eukaryota; Viridiplantae; Streptophyta; Magnoliopsida; Arecales; Arecaceae. The record is from RNAcentral.